Molecule: transfer RNA, 101 nt
Organism: Cylindrobasidium torrendii FP15055 ss-10
Lineage: Eukaryota; Fungi; Basidiomycota; Agaricomycetes; Agaricales; Physalacriaceae
Rfam family: tRNA
About the family: Transfer RNA (tRNA) molecules are approximately 80 nucleotides in length. Their secondary structure includes four short double-helical elements and three loops (D, anti-codon, and T loops).
Source: Rfam
GGCCUGAUGGUCUAGUAGCAUGAUUCCUGCUUUGGGCUUGAGUGAUCUGAUCACUCAAAUCUGCCUGCAGGAGGUCACGGGUUCAAUUCCCGUUCAGGCCC